GUGAAAUUUCAGUCCGUUCCGAUCGGAUGCACUGUCUGUCUGCGUUUGUGUACGCCAGUGCCUGUCUGUGUACAAUAAACUGUAAGGCAGCAUCUCGUCCAGAUCCGGAACUGUUUGGGGUCUAAGUGGGGAUUUAUGAACCGCUCUCUAACUGGGACACUCUCCUCUCCAGGCCAGCUGCUCGGAUUAAAGAGUUGCAGCUCCAGAUAUUGGGAACAACACGCCGUGGGCCGUGCUGCUCUCUGUCUGAACACUGAGUCCCGGCCUCCUCUUCCCCCUGCUCUCUGAGGAGCUGUGUGGUGUUUCUCACUGGAAUGAAGCCUAUAAGUGUGAAGCACUAUCAAGCUAACCAGCCAGCAACUGUGUUUCCUGUCUUAUUGCCUCAUUAAUAUGCAAU
Molecule: long non-coding RNA, 397 nt
Organism: Stegostoma tigrinum
Lineage: Eukaryota; Metazoa; Chordata; Chondrichthyes; Orectolobiformes; Stegostomatidae
Exons: 3
Source: RefSeq, a predicted model, not a curated record